This 1509-nucleotide ribosomal RNA is filed under the name Helicobacter pylori. RNAcentral describes it as "bacterial SSU rRNA". It matches the Rfam family "Bacterial small subunit ribosomal RNA". The record is from RNAcentral. Lineage: Bacteria; Pseudomonadati; Campylobacterota; Epsilonproteobacteria; Campylobacterales; Helicobacteraceae.
UUUAUGGAGAGUUUGAUCCUGGCUCAGAGUGAACGCUGGCGGCGUGCCUAAUACAUGCAAGUCGAACGAUGAAGCUUCUAGCUUGCUAGAAUGCUGAUUAGUGGCGCACGGGUGAGUAACGCAUAGGUCAUGUGCCUCUUAGUUUGGGAUAGCCAUUGGAAACGAUGAUUAAUACCAGAUACUCCCUACGGGGGAAAGAUUUAUCGCUAAGAGAUCAGCCUAUGUCCUAUCAGCUUGUUGGUAAGGUAAUAGCUUACCAAGGCUAUGACGGGUAUCCGGCCUGAGAGGGUGAACGGACACACUGGAACUGAGACACGGUCCAGACUCCUACGGGAGGCAGCAGUAGGGAAUAUUGCUCAAUGGGGGAAACCCUGAAGCAGCAACGCCGCGUGGAGGAUGAAGGUUUUAGGAUUGUAAACUCCUUUUGUUAGAGAAGAUAAUGACGGUAUCUAACGAAUAAGCACCGGCUAACUCCGUGCCAGCAGCCGCGGUAAUACGGAGGGUGCAAGCGUUACUCGGAAUCACUGGGCGUAAAGAGCGCGUAGGCGGGAUAGUCAGUCAGGUGUGAAAUCCUAUGGCUUAACCAUAGAACUGCAUUUGAAACUACUAUUCUAGAGUGUGGGAGAGGUAGGUGGAAUUCUUGGUGUAGGGGUAAAAUCCGUAGAGAUCAAGAGGAAUACUCAUUGCGAAGGCGACCUGCUGGAACAUUACUGACGCUGAUUGCGCGAAAGCGUGGGGAGCAAACAGGAUUAGAUACCCUGGUAGUCCACGCCCUAAACGAUGGAUGCUAGUUGUUGGAGGGCUUAGUCUCUCCAGUAAUGCAGCUAACGCAUUAAGCAUCCCGCCUGGGGAGUACGGUCGCAAGAUUAAAACUCAAAGGAAUAGACGGGGACCCGCACAAGCGGUGGAGCAUGUGGUUUAAUUCGAAGAUACACGAAGAACCUUACCUAGGCUUGACAUUGAGAGAAUCCGCUAGAAAUAGUGGAGUGUCUGGCUUGCCAGACCUUGAAAACAGGUGCUGCACGGCUGUCGUCAGCUCGUGUCGUGAGAUGUUGGGUUAAGUCCCGCAACGAGCGCAACCCCCUUUCUUAGUUGCUAACAGGUCAUGCUGAGAACUCUAAGGAUACUGCCUCCGUAAGGAGGAGGAAGGUGGGGACGACGUCAAGUCAUCAUGGCCCUUACGCCUAGGGCUACACACGUGCUACAAUGGGGUGCACAAAGAGAAGCAAUACUGCGAAGUGGAGCCAAUCUUCAAAACACCUCUCAGUUCGGAUUGUAGGCUGCAACUCGCCUGCAUGAAGCUGGAAUCGCUAGUAAUCGCAAAUCAGCCAUGUUGCGGUGAAUACGUUCCCGGGUCUUGUACUCACCGCCCGUCACACCAUGGGAGUUGUGUUUGCCUUAAGUCAGGAUGCUAAAUUGGCUACUGCCCACGGCACACACAGCGACUGGGGUGAAGUCGUAACAAGGUAACCGUAGGUGAACCUGCGGUUGGAUCACCUCCUUUCUAGA